GUCAAUGCAGUUUAGCACUUAUGUUAAUUAGACGCAGCUGGUGUGUUUUACCAUCUACCUGGCCUCCGUUGUUUGCGGAGGCUGCCUCUAGCCUAACCCAGCUGGUUUGUGUCCGCGUGCGUUUAAACGAUCCAGACAUGGCCACCAGUGGUUAGCUUCAGCGAGGACCGCCGCAGAGGACCUAAGAGGCGCUGCGCUGCCUCACCUAACACCUGUUGCUACAUGAAUUAACUAUUAAAAAA
Long non-coding RNA from Gadus macrocephalus (Pacific cod), 242 nucleotides. RefSeq lists it as uncharacterized. The transcript is spliced from 3 exons. The record is from RefSeq and is a predicted model, not a curated record. Lineage: Eukaryota; Metazoa; Chordata; Actinopteri; Gadiformes; Gadidae.